Nerophis ophidion (straightnose pipefish) is the source of this 1889-nucleotide long non-coding RNA. RefSeq lists it as uncharacterized. The record is from RefSeq and is a predicted model, not a curated record. The transcript is spliced from 2 exons. NCBI's taxonomy places the organism in Eukaryota, Metazoa, Chordata, Actinopteri, Syngnathiformes, Syngnathidae.
ACAGGAGGAAGCACAAAACAAGAUAGCGUCUGGCGGAGAUUACGUUGUUUUGGUUAUUAUGGUUUCUAGGUCUUAAUUACAACGUACAUGUGCACAUUUGUGUCGUUUAACAGAGUAAACGUCGUUAUUAAUUGUUUGUAUGCGGAUACAUUAGUCUGAGUGCACUUUGACGUGCUAGCCUAGCCUGCUGGUUAGCUUAGCUUGUUAGCUGCUAACAAAGAGAGGCGGAAGUGAUCGACACAUCAAAGCAGAGAUCCAAUACGUCUGUGAAGAACAUCUUCACCCUUAGCAACAGAAGUGGAGCUUCAGUAUGCAGACGGAGGAAACACAGCCCUCCCACAUUAAGAUGGAAGAGGAAUACACACUGAUCCCCCAUUUUAAAAAGGAAGAGGAGGACCCACUGACACCCCUUUUUAAAGAGAAAUCAGUGGACCCACUGAGUCCUCACAUUAAAGAGGAAGAGGAGGAACACCGCAUCAGUCAAGAAUGGUUGGAGGAGUUCCAUUUGAUUGUGAAGAGUGAAGAUGAUGAGGUGAAAGGUGAAAGUGAGGAGAGGGGAGGGGGGGAGCCUCCAAGCAGCAGCUCAACACAACACAUGACAACAGAAGCUGAUGGAGACCACUGUGGAGGAUCACAAGCAGACAAGCUCUUAGCUCCACUAUCAGAUAGUGAGGACACAACGUCACACUCUCCUGACACUGAUGAUGAAGACUCUAAAGAUGAUAAGACAUGUCACACUGACAACACUCACUUCACAUCUUCUCUCUGUCACAAAACUUUUAAAUACCAAAGUCGUCUGAAAACCCACAUGAGAACACACACUGGAGAAAAAGCCUUUUCAUGCUCAAUCUGUGGUAAAGGUUUUACUCGAGGGCACUCUUUGAAAAGACACAUGAGAACACACACUGGAGAAAAACCUUUUUCCUGCUCAGAAUGUGGUAAAUAUUUUACUCUAAGGAUCAAUUUGAAAGUACACAUGAGAAUACACACUGGAGAAAAACCUUUUUCCUGCUCAGAAUGUGGUAAAAGUUUCAUAACAAAUCAUACCUUAAAAGAACACAUGGGAACACACAAUGGAGAAAGACCUUUUUUAUGUUCAAUCUGUGGUAAAUAUUUUACUUGAAGGCACUAUUUAAAAACACACAUGAGUACACACACUGGAGAAAAACCUUACAAAUGUUCAGUAUGUUGUAAAAGUUUUAUACAAACUACGUAUUUGAAAAGACACAUGAGAACACACACAAGUGAGAAAGUGUUGAGUUGCAGUGUGUGUGGUGAAAGAUUGUCUUCUAAGUAGCAGUGUAAGAAACACAAGUGUGCUGGUGAGAACAGCAGCAGCAAAUGAAACUGCAGGAUUUGAAAUAAACUGUCAAAACUUUAACUUUGACCUUCUAACAACAUCAGCACAUAGAUGCUAACAUUAAUAGAUUUGAUAUAUCAGUUAAUUGCUAUUUUCAGUCAAGUACAUGUUUAAUAUACAACAUGGUGUACUUUUAUUUAAAAAUGAACACAACACUUUGACUGCAAAGGUGAGAAUAAACAGGACAAAUCCUGUUAGAAAUACUUGUGUAUAGAUAUAUUCAGAUAUCAUUUUUAAUUAUUAAUGAUGUUAUAGAUGAACUCCUUUAUAUGAUGUACAUAUUUGUUUUACAUGUGUUCAUACCUUUGCUUUUGAGUACACAUAAAUCCCUCUUAGUUCAUAUUUACUGAUUCGCAUCUCAAACAUCUUCUGGACCACUUCUGGAAGCAUAUUAUUAUUUACUUUAUACAUCAUUUCAGCAGUUGUCUUUUAUACAAGAUCAUUUACUUUUAAAAUGUGUGACUUUAUGAAUCAUUUGUUGGGUCUCAAUAAUCCAUUGUUUUAAUUAAUUUGUAUUACUCUCUUUUGU